GGUUUGAUGUAGGCUGGACUUGCUACAAGUUCCAUAGGUACUUUUUUAUUAUUUUUUUAUUUUAUUUUUUGUGUGUGUGUAUGUUUUUAGCUUUCCUCCCUCACUAAAGAGCAAGUCUGUGUGGACAGACUUGUUACCUUUGCUACCUCUUGAAUUCAUGAGAACAAUAAGAUGGUUAGUGAAAGAUUAGGCAUUUUUUUUAAUUGUAAGUAAUUAAAUGUAUAAAAGUAGAAGCUAAAUUAAAGUUAAGGGAUUUUUACCACCCCGUCCUUCCAUCAAAAGUCAGCUAGAGAAAUGUUAAAGCAAAGCUUGGCCAAAGACAAAGCAAAAAAUACACUGAGCUAGAGGCUGUGCUGGCUGCUUGGACUGGCUCAAUUCGCAGUCUCUUGGCUGUCUGUAGUCACUUUUAGAUAAAAGCAGAAAACUUCUCUGAGCUUUUUGGGCCCUUUCCAGCUUUGUUUAUUGAGUCUGGAUACUAUGGGGAAGGAAAUAUGUCCCCCUCAUCUUCCACUCCCCCAGCACAUCUGGGUCAGUCUGUAAACACCUGGCAGGACAGAGGGUGAGGGCAUAGCAGCCUAUAAUUUACUAGAAUCCAGAGUGCAAUAAGGUGGGGGAGAGGAGGAGAAAGCAAACCAAAGUGUUUCAUAUCCUCCCUUUUAGACAAUUUAACACACGCACACAAAAAAAAAAAAAAAAAAGAAAAAAAUGAAAAGAAAAAGAAACAAAAUGUUCUUGCAACAUCUGCCUAAGACAUCACAGCCAACAGCUGCUAUUGGUUUAGGAGAGAAGACAGAGAACUUUGCCCACCGAUUCUUGGCCCCCUUGACUUUGUUGGCGUGACCUUGUGGAAAGCUAUGGCUUAUUUCAAGCCUCCUGUGACUGUGGUGGUAAAAAUUCACAGCCAGUAGAAUCAUCCCUUCUGAAAUGACUAAGGUUUACACUUGCAUUUUUUCAUUUGUUGGUUUUUGGUGUUUUGUUUUUUGGUUUGUUUUUUUUUUUUUCCACUCAAACCAGUAGAGUCUCUAUGCGUAAGUUUUACCAAACCUCACGUUUUGUCUUUUUUAAAAAAAAAAGAAAAACACAAAACGAUCAAUUUUUUAAAGUUUUGACCAAAAAAGAAAAAAAAAGAAAAAAGUGAGCAUGUUUGACUAAAACAAAGAAAUAUAAGCUUCAUUUUCUAUUGGGGUUUUUUUUGCUUGGUUUUUUUUUGUUUGUUUGUUUUGUUUCAUUUUUUGUUUUUUGGGUUUUUUUUUUUUUAAGGUAGACUAGUCCAUGAGAAGUUUUUGGGUCAAUUGACUGAACUGAGGAAACUGGAAUCCAGGCUCCAAGCAAUAGACAACCCAAAGGCGCAGAGCCUCGGCCUGGUGUCACGUUACAGGGAACACUCGCCCCUCUCCAGCCGCUCCCCUGUGCUUCUCCCGGUGCCAUUGUCCCCUUGCUCCCGGAGCGCGGGAGGGGUGCAUGGACUUUUGCUUUUGUCGAAUUGUGCUGAGACGCGCUGUUUUCUUUUCGGGGGUUAAGUGUGCUUUUAGCGUCUUUAGCACUUCCACAUUUUUGAAUAUAUACUGAAUUAUUUUCUCCUUGACUCUUUGUCACACCCCCUCCCCCGAGAAUGUCCCCAAAAUAGUCUUUGGGAAGGACAGGGAAGGCCGUGCCAUCUACCUUGUUCUCAGAGGGCAUCUGAGCAGAGCCCAGGGCCAGCUGCGCAAGAUGAGUUCUCGGCACUGUCACCCCACCUUUACCUCCCCUCCAGCCACCCUCGGCGGAGCUGACCCCGCUCCGGCUCCCCUUGGAGCCAAGGGCCCACCUCCAGAGCAGCCCCUGCUCCCUCUCUUCAUUCCAUUUCUACGUGUCUGUGGGUGAUGUAGCUUCUCCCCCUGCCCCAGGCCCACUUUCAUUUGUUUCUAAAGCCUUGAGAAUUAUGUUGAACUUUCAGGACCCAAUGCUAUUUUUUUAAAACUAUUUUUUGGAGCAUCUUUUUUUUUUUUUUUUUUUUUUUAAAUCCCCUCCCCAGCACUUAAACAGUACGACAUAAAGUCUGUGUACAGCAAGAGUAUUGUACAAAAGGAAAUUAUGUUCUUUUUUCAAAUAGCUGUGUAAAGUUGUGUUCCAUAGACUGAGUAUAAACAACAUUUUCCAAAUUGUGACAGUAAUAAUUAAUAACUAAUAAUACUCAAAACUUCAGGGACUGUUUCAGGCCUGCUUGGGGCCUAAACACUCAACUGCAUUUGUACGACAUAGUAUUGUAUCAACAUUUUUCUGUAUUUUAAUGAGAAAGCAAAACACUAGUUUCAUAUUUAAGAUUUUAAGAAUUUUAGGGUGGGGGGGAGGGAGCUGCGUUUUUGUUUUUUUAAAAUUUUAUUUUGAAUUUUUUUUUUAAAUACACAAAGAGCCUCAAGAGGAAAAAACCAAUUUAAAAGGAAACAAAAAAAAAAACAAAAAAAAAAAACAAAAAAAAAAGAAAAAAAAAGAGGCCAGGCAGCUUAAGUAUAUGCUUUAGUCACUUAGUUCCAGAAUGUUUUCGGAAUAACAGGAAAAAAAAAAAAGAUAAAAUAGCAAAAGUUGUAUAAAAGAAUAAGAAGCUCAUACCCAAAUUCACAAAACUAUUUUUUAAACCAAAGCACAUUUGAAUGAGUAUGGAACCUCACUUGGCUCAGAAAAGUACUAAUAUAUUUAUCUCAUUGUUUACAUAAACUUUUACAGUUUCAGACCUCAACAGAUCUAGGGGCCAGUCAAAAUUAAUCUUUGCUUUUUCCAUUGGUUUGUCUCUGAAGGCUGUGCAGUGUUCCCCAGCUUGGGAGGGGGAAUCUGUGUCCCAGCCUGCAUUCCAGCACUGCUCCGGGAGGGUGGGGAGAGGGUGGGCAAUUAGAAAUAUGGCAUGUAGAAUUUUUUUUCUUAAUCCAUGAGAGAUGUUGCUGGGAGUGAGACCCAGGCGCUAUUGUAGAGGCGUUUCGGCCUCCCUCUUCCUCAGAGGAGUCUGAGGGAACCAAGAGGGCAAAGUGAGACGCAGGAAGCUCUAGAGAUAAGAAAGGAUGUUAGAAGAUGGUGGGAGCUGCUGUACCCAGCACAUCUCCUUAACUUUAGCCACGGGGAGCUGGGCUGUUUUCCAGUCCCUUACUGCAAAACUUCCAAAAACAAAUUCCUGGCAAAAAAUCCCCAAAGGCCCAGCUCUGUGCACUUGGGGCUGUUAGCAGGAGCCACAAAGCUCACAGAAGACACCAAAGAGCUAUUGACACGCAGCUUCUGUGAGGCUUUGCGGCCGCUGCAGAGCGCAGCCAGCCCUGCCCUGGGGCACCCAGCAGCCUCGGCCUGGGCUGGGACCUGAGCUUGGGGCUCCUCUGGGCCCUUUCAUGGAACCUGGAUGGAUUCACUCCAGACCUUACAGUCCUGCUUAAAAAGCCCAACCAAAACUCCUAAGGCUGCCUUGGUGGAAACCUAAGCCGAUCUGCAUGGUAGAACAGUUUAAAGAUGACCAAUGAGGAUGGUUAGCUAAAAUCACGCUGAAGCCAAAAACAAAAAGGUUUUAGAAAGCUCCCCAUCGUUAGUCUUGACCCUUUGUAGCUUUUACCUUGUACACCAAAGCCACCUCAAAACAUUUGAGGGGGGGCUGAUGGAAAAUGAAAUAUUAAUUUUGCCUGGUCUUAAUAUCUAACAAAGAUGGUGCAAACACUAUUUGACAGUGUUGUUUUUGUAUCAAUAUGUAUGUGCAGUAAUGAAUGUAUUUAUUUCUCAGAUUCUGUAUGCACAGUUUUGCAAUGUAAUUCAGAAAGUUGCAAACACAAAGAUGUGUCCGCAGGGUCUUCUCUACAGGAUUUCAAAAAAAUGAAAAAAAUAUAUUAAAAAAAAAAAAAGAAAAAAAAGAAAAAAGGAAUCUCAGAGACUCAGCAUAGCCAUAAACCAUAACCUGUGAAGACAAUACAAAGACUGGACUUUUGUAGCUUUGCAUAGAAGAGGAAUUUAUGUUUUGCUGUAUUUAAAUGUUUCAAUUUACAGUGUCACUCUUUUAAGAUUCCUGUUUUGGUUUUUGUUUUUGUUUUCCUCUCUCUCUUGUGUGUGGAAAGCAUUGUUUUUAAGCAGUGCAGGUUCAAAGUCUGGGUUAGCAGUAUUUUACCAUGUUGCUUCAGUUCUGAAAAGCAGGAAUAUGGGUCUUGACCAGAGAAACAUCCAGUACACUUAGUGAAACAAAAUGAAAUCUGAGGUGACUGCUGGCAAAAUCCAGAGAAGGUAAAAGUCACUUGAGGAAUAGCUGUGUGCUUCUGAUUGCAGCUUGUGACUGAGACAAGUCUGUUAUCCUGCCUGAAGGAUAGGAUGUAGCUCUUUUUUAAAGUGUCCCUCAUCCCUCACUUACUGUUUACUGUGGUAGCAAUAAGGAUCUCAGAAGUGGGGAGUCAAGGCUUGGGAUGGGCAGAGGGAGCUCCGUGCCAAACCCCACAGCCUCUGUCCAUCUCCUGGUGGGCCUUGCAGGUGAUACUGAAGCAUCAGGUUCACCACAGCACAGGGGGCUGGAGCCCCUGGGAGAAGCUGUGCUUUCCAAAGCCUCUUGUUCCAGUAUUGGUAGAGUCAGCACCUACUACAGCCUUACAAAUUAGCAUGAAGAAAGGAUGCUUGCCAAAUUCUGAAACCUUUCCAAUCAACAGUACUGGAGUUAAGGGAAAAGCAAAUAAAAAAACAAAGGAACAAAACCUCCCUCUAUUUUAAUUGGGUGUAAGAGGCCCUAGGUAGCAAACACUGAGCUGUCCCCAGACAGCAGAGAAGCUCAUCAUUGAAGAUGGCAUGUUUGGAUAAACAUUUGUUUAAGCAAGAAUUUAAAAUCUAAAUGAACCCAGAGCUGUAAUUCUGGAAUAAUUAAAGAGACUUAGGGCAUUUUUUUCUUAGUUUUUGUUUAAGUAAUUACUUGCUCAACAUCAGUAAAGUCUCCAUUUACUGUAAAAUCCUUUCUUUUUAUAAGCUUAUUCUUGCACUCCAGAACUGGCCAUAUUCUUGAAAAAGAAAAUUUAGGGGUUGCUUUCAAUAGCUGAAAGUAGCCUUUUGCAGUGUUUUAAGUCCCAUGGUACUUAAUGGUCCUGAUUUUAGUGCAGGAGACAAGCAGGCAAAAGGAAAAGCUGUUUCUCAGCCCCUUUCCACUCCUCGUAUUUUGCAUUUUUUCAGAAUAGGGUAAGAAAUUUCACCUUUGAUUAUUUCCUGUUAGACUCACUAAAUUUGCUGCUUUCCUUGCAAAAGGAAAAUAUUUGGGAACCCUUAUGAGGCAGUUCCAGCUCUGCUGUAAGGUUCCUAGCUGGUCCUCCAAGUCAGGAAGACUCCUUUGUUUCAGCCCUGGUCCAUCUUUCUGCCACAUCAAAACUGUUUUUAUUCUGCUUUCCUUGUUUUAAGUAACAGCUCAAAGAUCCUGAAACAUACAUUCAGAGAGAGAAAUACAUUUUUGUUCCAUUGUCUCCUAUUGCCACAAUCUUCUUUCCUUCCUUCCUUCCCUAAUUUUCCUGAGCAUUUUGAAGGCCAGUGUUGUACCCAGGGAUCAGGGGAUCAGUGGUUUUGGAACAGAGGAGUCCCUGUGGCACGUGGUGGGGCAGGUCUGAACCACCACACUUGAUGGGGCAUUUGUUAGGGACCCACUCAUAGCGCUGCUUCCCCUGAGGAGUGGGACUGAUUUACACUUCCUCUGUCACAAGUUCCAAUCGAAGCACUCUCAGUACAGCUGUUCCUCUCACCUUCCACAGGAGUUUUGACUGGCUGGGGAUAAUUUUUCUUUGAGGAGAGGAUCUUGUUCUGGCUGGCUGGAUAUUUUUCCCCAUUUUAUUUUAAUAUUUUCGUUACAACUGAAAAAGGAAUGUUGCAUCACCCCUUUUCGUUUUUGUUUUUUGUUUGGUUGGGUUUUUUUUCAUUUUAAGCCUUAACUAUCAGUCAGUCUGGAAGCCCUGGAUGUUUCCUGGGGAGGGGGGAAGGAGGGAAGGUCAAGGGAAAGGCCAACAUUCCUGCUGCAAUGUUCUGUUCAUUUCCUUCAAGAGCUUGAAUUCAGGUCAGAGCCACAAUAGUUGUGGCUUCAACUCAAGUGUCAUAUAAAAAGAUACAGAAAUUAUAAUAUGAUCUCAGCAUUCAGAAAUUUGCAGUCUUAAUGUACAGUGAUGAGAAACUGUUAUUUUAUGAUCUUUUCAUUAAAAGCUUGAUUGAAAAAUUA
Long non-coding RNA from Serinus canaria (Common canary), 6172 nucleotides. RefSeq lists it as uncharacterized. The transcript is spliced from 2 exons. NCBI's taxonomy places the organism in Eukaryota, Metazoa, Chordata, Aves, Passeriformes, Fringillidae. The record is from RefSeq and is a predicted model, not a curated record.